Molecule: unclassified non-coding RNA, 620 nt
Filed under: Hevea brasiliensis (rubber tree)
Lineage: Eukaryota; Viridiplantae; Streptophyta; Magnoliopsida; Malpighiales; Euphorbiaceae
Source: RNAcentral
GAAGCAACUGUUGCUAGGCAAAUUCAAGCACAAUUCCAAAUUUCUGGAAAACAAGCUCUCCAGGAUGCCUUGAAGGCUGGUUUGGAAGCUUCUGUGGUCCCUGCCUUUGAGAUGUCGUGCAAAGCUAUGUUUGAGCAAGUAGACUCAACCUUCCGUAAAGGGUUGGUUGAACAUACGACUACAGCUCAACAGCAUUUUGAAUCUGCACAUUCUUCAUUGGCCCUGGCUUUAAGAGAAGCCAUCAACUCUGCUUCAUCAUUGACUCAAACAUUAAGCGGGGAAUUGGCUGAAAGUCAAAGGAAGCUGGUAGCUCUUGUUGCUGCUGGUGCAAACUCGAAUGCAGCAAAUCCCUUGGUUACACAACUGAGCAAUGGACCUUUGGCUGGCCUCCGUGAAAAGGUUGAGACGCAUUUGGAUCCAACAAAAGACCUAUCAAGAUUGAUAUCCGAACACAAAUACGAUGAGGCCUUCACCAUUGCCCUGCAAAGAAGUGAUGUUUCGAUUGUUUCUUGGUUAUGUUCUCAGGUUGAUUUGCGUGGGAUCUUAGCAAUGGUUCCUCUCCCCUUAAGCCAAGGAGUAUUGCUCUCUCUUCUACAGCAGUUGGCCUGUGAUGUUAGCAA